AGAGCGCGGAGGCGCGGAGGCCUGUGUAGCCGUAGCCGCUGCCCCACCUCAGUGUUAGUUUCUAGGCGCCGCGGUUUUCUGCGCUUCAGCAGUGGAUCUUGGUGGGUUCGGGGCAGCUUGGGGCGGACAAGAAUGCUGAAGGCUUUUGCCCAUACUGCUCCCUUUGCUGAACACUGCAUUUGGUCACUCGAAUUCACCCACGAGGUCUCUGUUUAGACGAUGCUUGUUCCAGACAGAGAGAAAUUCCCUCUGUCUCUGGCUCUGUAAGUGAGAUCAGAGCUUCAAAAAUACCACCC
This 296-nucleotide long non-coding RNA is filed under the name Bos mutus (wild yak). RNAcentral's name for it is "lncRNA (ENSBMUG00000025257.1)". The record is from RNAcentral. Lineage: Eukaryota; Metazoa; Chordata; Mammalia; Artiodactyla; Bovidae.